This 397-nucleotide ribosomal RNA is filed under the name uncultured bacterium. RNAcentral's name for it is "partial 16S ribosomal RNA". It matches the Rfam family "Bacterial small subunit ribosomal RNA", at positions 523 to 918 of the family's 1533-position model. The record is from RNAcentral.
CUACGUAGGGGGCGAGCGUUGUCCGGAAUGAUUGGGCGUAAAGGGCGCGUAGGCGGCCCGGUAAGUCUGGAGUGAAAGUCCUGUUUUUAAGAUGGGAAUUGCUUUGGAUACUGUCGGGCUUGAGUGCAGGAGAGGUAAGUGGAAUUCCCAGUGUAGCGGUGAAAUGCGUAUAGAUUGGGAGGAACACCAGUGGCGAAGGCGACUUACAGGGCUGUAAAUGACGCUGAGGCGCGAUAGUGUGGGGAGCAAACAGGAAUAGAUACACUGGUAGUCCACACUGUAAACGAUGAAUGCUAGGUGUAGGGGGUAUCGACCCCUUCUGUGCCGCAGUCAACACAAUAAGCAUUCAGCCUGGGGAGUACGGCCGCAAGGUUGAAACUCAAAUGAAUUGACGGGG